RNAcentral lists this ribosomal RNA (523 nucleotides) under uncultured bacterium. RNAcentral's name for it is "bacterial SSU rRNA". It matches the Rfam family "Bacterial small subunit ribosomal RNA", at positions 355 to 893 of the family's 1533-position model. The record is from RNAcentral.
CAAGGAAUUUUCCGCAAUGGGCGCAAGCCUGACGGAGCAACGUCGCGUGGAGGAAGACGGUUUUCGGAUUGUAAACUCCUUUUGGGUGGGACGAUAAUGACGGUACCACCCGAAUAAGCCCCGGCUAACUCCGUGCCAGCAGCCGCGGUAAGACGGAGGGGGCAAGCGUUGUCCGGACUUACUGGGCGUAAAGGGUGCGUAGGCGGUUGUGUGCGUCCGCGCUGAAAUCGCUCGGCUUAACCGAGUGGCGCGUGCGGAUACGACAUAACUGGAGCCUCUGAGAGGGUGGCGGAACUCCUGGUGUAGUGGUGAAAUGCGUAGAGAUCAGGAAGAACACCCGUGGCGCAAGCGGCCACCUGGCAGAGUGCUGACGCUGAGGCACGAAAGCGUGGGGAGUGAACCGGAUUAGAUACCCGGGUAAUCCACGCCGUAAACGAUGUCGACUUGAGAUAUGGUUGCCUUACGGCGACGGUGUCUCUAAGCCAACGCGCAAGUCGACCGCCUGGGAACUACGAGCGCAAGC